This 207-nucleotide ribosomal RNA is filed under the name uncultured bacterium. RNAcentral describes it as "partial 16S ribosomal RNA". It matches the Rfam family "Bacterial small subunit ribosomal RNA", at positions 568 to 774 of the family's 1533-position model. The record is from RNAcentral.
CGCGUAGGCGGAUUGGAAAGUUGGGGGUGAAAUCCCGGGGCUCAACCCCGGAACUGCCUCCAAAACUAUCAGUCUGGAGUUCGAGAGAGGUGAGUGGAAUUGCGAGUGUAGAGGUGAAAUUCGUAGAUAUUCGCAGGAACACCAGUGGCGAAGGCGGCUCACUGGCUCGAUACUGACGCUGAGGUGCGAAAGUGUGGAGAGCAAACA